RNAcentral lists this long non-coding RNA (236 nucleotides) under Trifolium pratense (red clover). RNAcentral describes it as "long non-coding RNA (TPRA_LNC004761)". The record is from RNAcentral. Lineage: Eukaryota; Viridiplantae; Streptophyta; Magnoliopsida; Fabales; Fabaceae.
CAUCUUCAUCCUUAGAUCAUUAACCCUAGCCCCAAAAUUAUACCCAAUCACAUUUGUUAAAGCUUUACUUUGGAAGGAGCAAGUAUCUUCAAGGUUGUUUGGUUUCUAAUUGAAAUUUGGUGAUUUUAAAAAAAUUAAAAGUGGAAGAAGGAAAGGUUGGAGAAGUGAGAAUAGGGGUAUACUGACCGAGAGAGAGAAAUACACAGGGAGAGAGAAAGAAUGUAGUGAAAUGGGUG